Molecule: unclassified non-coding RNA, 154 nt
Filed under: uncultured Basidiomycota
Lineage: Eukaryota; Fungi; Basidiomycota
Description: sequence contains ITS1
Source: RNAcentral
AUGAUUAACUGUCUGUCGAGCUUGCUCACAGACUUAUCAUAUCCAUAACACCUGUGCACUUGUCGGAUGGCUUAGUGAAGACCGCAAGGUUGGAUCUAUCCAUCUACUUUACAUAACAAUCUAGUAACAAAUGUAGUCUUAUUAUAACAUAAUA